Molecule: long non-coding RNA, 837 nt
Organism: Neogobius melanostomus (round goby)
Lineage: Eukaryota; Metazoa; Chordata; Actinopteri; Gobiiformes; Gobiidae
Source: Ensembl
GUUUGGCUGUUUUUAUCGACCCCCCACCCACGUGAUUUCCUGUAAAUAUCACGCGUAAAAGCGAAACAGAAAGUAGACAGUUGGAAAUCCCCAUUUUGUGAACAGACGCACUGACACAAGCCGGUGCUGAAGUGUGUGACGUCAAUCAAAAAUGGCUUCGAAUAAUAAACAAAAACUGCAGAGACCAGAGUCACCAGAUUCCAGCAGUGAGUCGGAGGAGAGUGUUUUGUCACGAUUAACUCGUCUGGGAUUCUACCAUGAAUCCUACGAUCAACUACCGUCGGCUGUUUCCCUGAGGAGUGACAAUUCCAAAGGCAUGCCCCCAGACUUCAGAGAACCAGGCCCAUACUCACCAUUGGCUGUUUCCCUGAAGAGUGACUAUUCUAAAGGCAUGCCCCCAGACUUCAGAGAACCAGGCCCACACUCAAGCCCAUGUGUGUCUUUCUGCCCUCACUUGUCCACCAACCAAAUCCUCUGGUUUCUGUGCAUUCUGACCAAUGCUCCAUGGUGGUAGUCAGGGGCGAGGCUAGGCCUAUUUUAGGGGUACUCAAGCACCCCUAAAAUUAAUUCAAGCACCCCUAAAAAUGCCAGGCCAAAAAUAUAAUAACAGAAAUAAAGUCCACACUAAAACGUAUUAUGUACUUCUAUAAUAUAUUUCUGGGUUGAUUUAUUAAAAUAUGUGUAUUUAAAGAAAUAAAGCAUAAACACCCCUCUUCACUAAAUGAUUUGGUCUGAUGUCUCGUUGCUGUAGCUCCGCCCCCUCUCCUCACAGCGCUGUCGCCUCAGACUCUCUCUCUCUGCUCUGUCUCUCCGUGGAGUUUAAACUUUGGUGCUGGU